RNAcentral lists this ribosomal RNA (834 nucleotides) under Pseudopestalotiopsis elaeidis. Its description in RNAcentral is "partial 28S ribosomal RNA". It matches the Rfam family "Eukaryotic large subunit ribosomal RNA", at positions 69 to 928 of the family's 3401-position model. Lineage: Eukaryota; Fungi; Ascomycota; Sordariomycetes; Amphisphaeriales; Sporocadaceae. The record is from RNAcentral.
CAGGGAUUGCCUUAGUAACGGCGAGUGAAGCGGCAACAGCUCAAAUUUGAAAUCUGGCCCUUGGGUCCGAAUUGUAAUUUGUAGAGGAUGAUUUUGGUGCGGUAUCUUCCGAGUUCCUUGGAACAGGACGCCUUAGAGGGUGAGAGCCCCGUACGGUUGAAUGCCUAGCCUCUGUAAAUCUCCUUCGACGAGUCGAGUAGUUUGGGAAUGCUGCUCUAAAUGGGAGGUAAAUUUCUUCUAAAGCUAAAUAUUGGCCAGAGACCGAUAGCGCACAAGUAGAGUGAUCGAAAGAUGAAAAGCACUUUGAAAAGAGGGUUAAAUAGCACGUGAAAUUGUUGAAAGGGAAGGAUUUGUGACCAGACUUUUUCUGGGCGGAUCAUCCGGGGUUCUCUCCGGUGCACUUUGCCCAGUAAAGGCCAGCAUCGGUUUUCGGCGGGGGAUAAAAGCAGUAGGAAUGUGGCUCUCUACGGGGAGUGUUAUAGCCUAUUGUAUAAUACCCUGCUGGGGACCGAGGUACGCGCUUCUGCAAGGAUGCUGGCGUAAUGGUUAUCAAUCACCCGUCUUGAAACACGGACCAAGGAGUCGAACAUUUGUGCGAGUGUUUGGGUGUUAAACCCUCACGCGUAAUGAAAGUGAACGGAGGUGAGAGCCCUUACGGGUGCAUCAUCGACCGAUCCUGAAGUUUUCGGAUGGAUUUGAGUAAGAGCAUAACUGUUCGGACCCGAAAGAUGGUGAACUAUGCGUGGAUAGGGUGAAGCCAGAGGAAACUCUGGUGGAGGCUCGCAGCGGUUCUGACGUGCAAAUCGAUCGUCAAAUCUGCGCAUGGGGGCGAAA